GGACGAACGCUGGCGGCGUGCCUAAUACAUGCAAGUUGAGCGCUGAAGGUUGGUACUUGUACCGACUGGAUGAGCAGCGAACGGGUGAGUAACGCGUGGGGAAUCUGCCUUUGAGCGGGGGACAACAUUUGGAAACGAAUGCUAAUACCGCAUAAAAACUUUAAACACAAGUUUUAAGUUUGAAAGAUGCAAUUGCAUCACUCAAAGAUGAUCCCGCGUUGUAUUAGCUAGUUGGUGAGGUAAAGGCUCACCAAGGCGAUGAUACAUAGCCGACCUGAGAGGGUGAUUGGCCACAUUGGGACUGAGACACGGCCCAAACUCCUACGGGAGGCAGCAGUAGGGAAUCUUCGGCAAUGGACGAAAGUCUGACCGAGCAACGCCGCGUGAGUGAAGAAGGUUUUCGGAUCGUAAAACUCUGUUGGUAGAGAAGAACGUUGGUGAGAGUGGAAAGCUCAUCAAGUGACGGUAACUACCCAGAAAGGGACGGCUAACUACGUGCCAGCAGCCGCGGUAAUACGUAGGUCCCGAGCGUUGUCCGGAUUUAUUGGGCGUAAAGCGAGCGCAGGUGGUUUAUUAAGUCUGGUGUAAAAGGCAGUGGCUCAACCAUUGUAUGCAUUGGAAACUGGUAGACUUGAGUGCAGGAGAGGAGAGUGGAAUUCCAUGU
RNAcentral lists this ribosomal RNA (664 nucleotides) under uncultured Lactococcus sp. Its description in RNAcentral is "bacterial SSU rRNA". It matches the Rfam family "Bacterial small subunit ribosomal RNA", at positions 27 to 674 of the family's 1533-position model. The record is from RNAcentral. Lineage: Bacteria; Bacillati; Bacillota; Bacilli; Lactobacillales; Streptococcaceae.